GAGGGAGGGACGGAGAGAGAGAGAGAGAGAGAGAGAGAGAGGAGGUAAGGAGGGAGGAAUCAGACAGAAGAAGGUGGAAGGACUAGACUGGCUAAAUCUUCUGGCCCCCAUCUUUCUCCUGUGCUGGAUGCUUCCUGCCCUCGAACAUCAGACUCUUAAGUUCUUCAGCUUCUGGACUCUUGGACUUACACCAGUGAUUUGCCAGGGCCUCUCGGGCCUUCAACCACAGACUAAAGGCUGCACUAUCAUCUGCCCUACUUUUGAGGUCUGGGGACUCAGACUGGUUUCUCGCCCCUCAGCUUGCAGACGGUCUAUUGUGGGACUUCACCUUGUGAUCCUGAGUCGAUUCUCCUUAAUAAACUCCCUUUCAUAUAUACAGCUAUCCUAUUAGUCCUGCCCCUCUAGAGAACCCUGACUAACACACUAGGGAUGCGUUAAUGUUGCCCAAUACAGGACUCCUCUAGUGGGCAUUACUUGCUCUGGGACUUCCCACUGACCUAGCGAAGGCUUUCUGAAAGAUGCUGGGCCAGUCAUCAAUGUGCUACCGCUCAGCUCCAGAUACGUUCUGCUCUGCACGCUGGAGAUGAACUGUGCUCCUUUGCAGUGAGAUGCUGAGCUUUGACAGGAGUCAGUGCUGGAAGAUACUUUCAGGAGGAGAGGAGGUUUCUGUGUGUACGUGUAUGUCUGUGCACACACACACGCACACGCUGUUCUUGCUGCUGUGUCAUGGUUGCUUAGCCGUGAGCCCAGUGUGCAUAGCCUAGACCAACACUGCAGCCCUCAGGCCUGGGGACCAUCUUCCAGCAAUUCUGCUGAUGCAGAUGCCUUAAGUUUUAGGCCUCACAUCUGUAAAUGUGCCCCAAUUCUACCUGCCCACAAGUCUCAGCUCCCUUGGCCGUCUGAGGGUUGUUCCUGCUUACCCGGUGACUAUGGACCAGCUCUGCCUAUAGGCAACCCCCCGACUUCUUGCCAUCCAGUGGGCUGCAACCAACCACACCUUCUCCAGUGAGGGCUGAACCCCACUUGGGGAGGGCACCCCCUUCUAGCUGUAUCUUUCCUUGGGGACUCUCCUUGGAUACCUUUUAAAGGUCUCUUUGCAUCUUUAUUUUUGUUUUGAUCUUUUUGAGACAAGGUUUUGCUCUGUUGCUCAGACUGUAGUGCAGUGGCAAGAUCUUGGCUCACUGAAGACGCCACCUCCUGAGUUCAAGCGAGUCUUCUGCCUCAGCCUCCCUAGUAGCUGGGGUUACAGGGUGUGCCACCAAGCCUGGCUAAUUUUUGUAUUUUUAGUAGAGACUGGGUUUCCAUGUUGGCCAAGCUGGUCUUGUACUCCUGACCUUGGGUGAUCUGCCCACCUCAGUCUCCCAAAGUGCUGGGAUUACAGAUAUGAUCCACACACCCGGCCUUUGCGUCUUUAUAGUUACUCUCCUGUGUCACAUUAAUAAUUUUUUAAUAUUAAAAAACCCCUGUUCAAAUUGCUUUAUGGUUUCUGUCUCCUGAUGGGACUCAGUGAUCUGGAGGCCGUGAAGUCUGUUUUUUCCUGUGCAGUUCUUCCCUUCCCUUCUUCCACGGGUGUCCGACUUGCCCUGCAGUCUGAAGCUUCUCCCAGCCUACUCCUGCUUCCUCUCUCAUCUCUCACAGGCAUUACCUGCAAAACAUCUCUUCACAUGGUUAAUUCCUUCUUGGCAGUUGCUUCUCAAAGAACCCAAAUGGACGGCCAGGCACAGCGGCUCACACCUGUAAUCCCAGUACUUUGGGAGGCCAAGACGUGUGGAUCACCUGAGAAGUUUGAGACCAGCCUGACCAACAUGGAGAAACGCUGUCUGUACUAAAAAUACAAAAAAAUUAACUAGGCAUGGUGGCACAUCCCUGUAAUCCCAGCUACUCAGGAGGCUGAGGUAGGAGAAUCUCUUGAACCCGAGAGGCAGAGGUUGCUAUAAGCUGAGAGCACACCAUUGUACUCCAGCCUGGGCAAAAAGAGCGAAACGCUGUCUCAAAAAACAAACAAAAAAAAAAAGAAGAAGAAGAACCCAGAGGGACACAGGUUCCCACCACACUUAGAAUAAAAUCCCCUGCAAGAAGCAGCUUCUCCGCUCCUCCUGGAAUCUCUCCCUGGUUCAGCCCGCCUGCCUCCACUCCUGCCUCCACCAUGUCCAUCAGGGUGACCCAGAAGUCCUACAAGGUGUCCACCUCUGGCCCCGGGGCCUUCAGCAGCCGCUCCUGCAUGAGUGGGCCCAGUGCCCACUUGAGCUCCUCGAGCUUCUCCCGAGUGAGCAGCAGUGGCUUCCGGGGUGGCCUGGGUGCAGGUUAUGCUGGGGCCAGCGGCAUAGGCAUGGGAGGCAUCACCGCCGUCACCAUCAGCCAGAGCCUACUGAACCCCAUUAAGGUGGAUGUGGACCCCAACAUCCAGGCCGUGGGUACCCAGGAGAAGGAGCAGAUCAAGACCCUCAACAACAAGUUUGCUUCCUUCAUGGACAAGGUGCGGUUCCUGGAGCAGCAGAACAAGAUGCUGGAGACCAAGUGGAGCCUCCUGCAGCAGGAGAAAACGGCUCGGAGCAACAUGGACAGCAUGUGUGAGAACCACAUCAGCAACCUGAGGCGGCAGCUGGAGACUCUGGGCCAGGAGAAGCUGAAGCUGGAGGCGGAGCUUGGCAACAUGCAGGGGCUGGUGGAGGACUUCAAGAACAAGUAUGAGGAAGAGAUCAAUAAGCGUACAGAGAUGGAGAAUGAAUUUGUCCUCAAGAAGGAUGUGGAUGAAGCUUACAUGAACAAGAUGGAGCUGGAGUCUCGCCUGGAAGGACUGACUGAUGAGAUCAACUUCCUCAGGCAGCUGUAUGAAGAGGAGAUCCGGGAGCUGCAGUCCCAGAUCUCCGACACGUCUGUGGUGCUGUCCAUGGACAACAGCCGCUCCUGGACAUGGACAGCACCAUCGCUGGGGUCAAGGUGCAGUAGGAGGAGAUCGCCAACCGCAGCUGGGCUCAAGCGGAGAGCGUGUACCAGAUCAAGUAUGAGGAGCUGCAGAGGCUGGCUGGGAAGCACGGGCACGACCUGCGGCAUACGAAGACUUAAAUCUCCGAGAUGAACCGGAACAUCAGCCGGCUCCAGGCUGAGAUCAAGGGCCUCAAAGGCCAGAGGUCUUCCCUAGAGACCACCAUUGUUGAGGCUGACCGUCGCGGGGAGCUGGCACUCAAGGAUGCUCAUGCCAAGCAAAAGGAGCUGGAGGCCGCCCUGCAGCAGGCCAAGCAGGGCAUGGCACAGCAGCUUCGUGAGUACCAGGAGCUGAUGAACGUCAAACUGGCCCUGGACAUCGAGAUCGCCACUUACCGCAAGGUGAGGAGAGCCGGCUGGAGUCCAGGAUACAGAACAUGAGUAUCCAUACAAAGACCACCAGCGGCUAUGCAGGUGGUCUGAGCUCUGCCUGUGGGGGCCUCACAAGCCCCGGCCUCAGCUACGGCCUGGGCUCCAGCUUUGGCUCUGUCACGGGCUCCAGCUCCUUCAGCCGCACCAGCUCCACCAAGGCUGUGGUUGUGAAGAAGAUUGAGACCCGCGAUGCGAGGCUGGUGUCCGAGUCCUCUGACGUCCUGCCCAAGUGAACAGCUGCAACAGCCCCUUCCAGCCUGCCCCUCCUGAGGCUGCCCCAGAGCCCAGGAGGGAGGCUGCUGUACAGGGGAGCACAGGGAACAGGAGACCCACCUGAUGCUCAGCCCUAGCCUUCAGCCCACCCUCGGGGAGUUUACUGCCUGGGGACCCCCCUUGCUCAUGCCGCCAGCUGCAAAACAAUUCAAUUGCUUUUUUUUUUUGGUCCAAAAUAAAAUCUCAGCUAGCUC
Callithrix jacchus (white-tufted-ear marmoset) is the source of this 3824-nucleotide RNA transcript. It is a transcript of the gene named keratin, type II cytoskeletal 8 pseudogene, with no coding region annotated. The record is from RefSeq and is a predicted model, not a curated record. Lineage: Eukaryota; Metazoa; Chordata; Mammalia; Primates; Cebidae.